ACUGUCCCGCAGACCGACCCGUGAACUAGUUGUGUACACAAACAUCGCGGGGGGGCGAGGGUGCGUACGUGCCCCGAGCCCCCUCGGUGCCCUGGCGUUCGCGACCUCGACCCGUCAGGCCUUCGUGGCGGGCGGGAUGCGUGGUCGCGUCGCUUGCGGCAGAACCAACGAACCCCCGGCGCGAGUCGCGCCAAGGAAACGGAAUGACGAGGAGCACGUCCGCUGCCCCCGCCCCGCCCGCGGUGCGCGUGCGGGCAGCGGCGUGUCUCCUCCGUCGUGAAAAUUAAGAAACGACUCUCGGCAACGGAUAUCUCGGCUCUCGCAUCGAUGAAGAACGUAGCGAAAUGCGAUACUUGGUGUGAAUUGCAGAAUCCCGUGAACCAUCGAGUCUUUGAACGCAAGUUGCGCCCCGAGCCAUUAGGCUGAGGGCACGCCUGCCUGGGUGUCACGCAUCGUCGCCCCCUCCAAUCCCUUAGCCCCUCGGGGCGGGGACGAGGUGGGGGCGGAAAAUGGCCUCCCGUGCGCUCCCCGCUCGCGGUUGGCCUAAAAUCGGGUCCCGGGCGGCGACAGCGUCGCGACGAUCGGUGGUGCUGCCUCGGGCGCGCCUCGUUCGCGGUCGCGCGCGCUUUCGCUCGGCCGGACCCAUCGAGACCCUACUCGCGUCGCACGAGCGAUGCUCGCAUCGCGACCCCAGGUCAGGCGGGACCACCC
Molecule: ribosomal RNA, 711 nt
Filed under: Bombax ceiba (Indian kapok)
Lineage: Eukaryota; Viridiplantae; Streptophyta; Magnoliopsida; Malvales; Malvaceae
Description: eukaryotic LSU rRNA
Rfam family: 5.8S ribosomal RNA (bases 293-448)
Source: RNAcentral